Molecule: ribosomal RNA, 916 nt
Filed under: uncultured bacterium
Lineage: Bacteria
Description: bacterial SSU rRNA
Rfam family: Bacterial small subunit ribosomal RNA
Source: RNAcentral
UUGUUGGUAAGGUAAAAGCUUACCAAGGCUUCGAUCAGUAGCUGGUCUGAGAGGACGACCAGCCACACUGGGACUGAGACACGGCCCAGACUCCUACGGGAGGCAGCAGUGGGGAAUUUUGGACAAUGGGGGCAACCCUGAUCCAGCCAUGCCGCGUGAGUGAAGAAGGCCUUCGGGUUGUAAAGCUCUUUCAGCCGGAACGAAACGGUUACGGUUAAUACCCGUGACUACUGACGGUACCGGAAGAAGAAGCACCGGCUAACUACGUGCCAGCAGCCGCGGUAAUACGUAGGGUGCGAGCGUUAAUCGGAAUUACUGGGCGUAAAGCGUGCGCAGGUGGUUUUGUAAGUCAGAUGUGAAAGCCCCGGGCUCAACCUGGGAACUGCGUUUGAAACUACAAGACUAGAGUGUGGCAGAGGGGGGUGGAAUUCCGCGUGUAGCAGUGAAAUGCGUAGAGAUGUGGAGGAACACCGAUGGCGAAGGCAGCCCCCUGGGUCAACACUGACGCUCAGGCACGAAAGCAUGGGGAGCAAACAGGAUUAGAUACCCUGGUAGUCCAUGCCCUAAACGAUGUCAACUAGUUGUCGGGCCUUUACGGGCUUGGUAACGUAGCUAACGCGUGAAGUUGACCGCCUGGGGAGUACGAUCGCAAGAUUAAAACUCAAAUGAAUUGACGGGGACCCGCCCAAGCGGUGGAUUAUGUGGAUUAAUUCGAUGCAACGCGAAAAACCUUACCUACCCUUGACAUGUAUCGAAGCCCGCAGAAAAGCGGGGGUGCCCGAAAGGGAACGAUAACACAGGUGCUGCAUGGCUGUCGUCAGCUCGUGUCGUGAGAUGUUGGGUUAAGUCCCGCAACGAGCGCAACCCUUGUCAUUAAUUGCCAUCAUUUAGUUGGGCACUUUAAUGAGACUGCCGG